This 73-nucleotide microRNA precursor is filed under the name Myotis lucifugus (little brown bat). RNAcentral's name for it is "mir-9193 microRNA precursor family". It matches the Rfam family "mir-9193 microRNA precursor family". The record is from Rfam by way of RNAcentral. Lineage: Eukaryota; Metazoa; Chordata; Mammalia; Chiroptera; Vespertilionidae.
UCUGUGGGGUGGGGGCCCUCAGCCCAGAUUGUGAGAGGGCGCAGGCCAGGCUGAGGGACCCCACCUGUGCACA